GCUGUUUUGCCUUCAAAAUAUAGUACAAUGCAUUGUUCUUUGACAAAGGACAGUUUUCUCAACCCUGGUAGAUAGGAAUUAGCUAUGGAGAAAAUCCACCACUUUAAUUGUUGAAACAGAUGAUCGAUGCAUGACCAGAAGAAGAGUGCGAGCUAGUCAAGAGUACCUGACUCACGGAAAACUGCUGGAAAAUUUACUGUAGAACUUUGUGGACACAAACAAAACCUGAUUAUGAAUAAAAAGAAAGCCAAAUCUUAAUCCCCAUUGAACCUGUUUUCACUGUUGUACAUUAGUUUCCUGACUGAGUUGCUGCUGCCUCCAGUUGGUCUUGUACAUUAAUAGUUUAUAUCUAUGGACUCUCACUAACCGCAAAGCUUCUCCAACGCUACAUCUAAUAUUUUGCAUCUCUGGUCAUUCAAUCUUGUCUUUUUUACAUAUUAGAGAAAUAAAAUUCUGGCAAUCAAAAAUUACAGAUCUCACCUAUUUCAUUUCUUUGUUAUCACGUUGCCUGUUUUAAAAUAAAUUGCUGCCUCACUAAUUUCCGUUCUGCCGAACCUGCAAAAUUAAUUGAUUUAAUCCCUGAAAUAUUGCUGUUGAGAUUUGAUCUUUAAAGCAUCAGGAAAAGUAGUGGAUCACUGAAAAAUGAAGUCAGCAGAUAAGAAGAUCCCAUUCCUAUGGUGAGCUGAUGAGGGAAGUGUCAAACCAUCUUAUAAUUUGCCAUAUAGAUCAUCUAAUCGGCAUGGUAAACUCCUACUCGAGGGAAAACUUAAAAGGUGUCUGAGUGUCAGGAUCUAAUCUAUCAAGGAUGUAUGAAUGCUUUGGUAUCCUAUGCUUCAGUGCACCUUGAUUGAUGAGGUGUGAGAGGUCCAAGAGCCUGAGACCCUGCAAUCCCUGAAAAUUUGGGGUACAGCAAAUCACUUUAUCUAAGGAUGAAAAUAUCCUGUUUUGAGGAUGGGGCUAGAGGCUUCCUAGGAGCCCAACUGAUACAGGGAAGAAUUUUCUGAUGCUUCAUCUCUUGCUAAGUUGCUAUGCUUGUCUAGCACACAAGGGUGUCGAAACAUUCGCACAGUAUGGGCCAAAAGAACAGGCCUAUGCAGUGCAUUUCAUCUUCUAUGCCUCAGUCCAUGUUUUCUGGUGGCGUAAAAGAAUGUAAGUGUGUGUCUAUGUUUGUGUGUGUGGGUAUGUGCAUGCAUGCACAAAUACGGCAAAUAGAAUCAGGAAGUUUGGAAUUGCAUUCUCACUUUAUAGUUUAUUCAACCUAUCAUAACUUCUUAAGCUUACUAUAGGGAAAUCCUCCAUGAAUACACCAUGAAGUUAAGGAAGGUAGCUGACAAAAUCCUCAUGGUCAUGGCAAAGUUGUUGGAUCUGAAUGAGGAGUACUUCACUCAGCAGCUUGGAGGCACAGCUGCAGUAUAUGCAAGAUUUAACUAUUACCCAUGUUGUUCAAGACCUGAUCUUGUCUUCGGCCUCAAACCUCACUCUGAUGGCUCCAUGAUCACUAUUGUUUUGCCAGACAAAGAUGUGGAAGGUCUUCAGGUACUCAAAGAUGGUGAGUGGGUUAGGAUACCCACAAAUCCUCAUGCUUUUCUUGUCAACUUUGGAGAUGAGAUGGAGGUAACUAUCAUUUUUUCAACAGUAAUUCUUCUUCCCUUCCUUUAGACCAUUGUCAGAAUCCUAAUUCUUUAAUUUUUCAACAAGGAUUCUAUUAUGAUUUUAUUUAUGCUGGUCAUUUCCCGGUGUUCUUAUUAAUUCUUUGAAGUUUGAAGAAAUACUAGUUCUUAUGAUACAAGACAAAUGUUUAAUGGAAUUACAGAUGUCAAUUGAAGAUUACACUACAUUCACAAAUGAUUAAAUUUGUAAUAUUGUAGCUUCUCAAAGGAGAAAAAAAGAAAAAUUUAUAAAGAGCUAUUUCCGUGGGUUAGUGCACAAAUUUCUGAAAGGAGACGCAUAAUUAAAAUGUGCUAAGAAGAAUAAUCGUAAGGCCUACACAUGGUGAAGGAAACACCAUUAUAUUUUGGUAGAAUAAUCAUUUACCCUUUUUUGUGAUACUUUGCUAAGUAUCAUAUAAUUUAAUCAUUGACAAAAAAGUUUUAAAAGAAGGAACACAAUGGAUAUACGCAUAUCAAAUUCCUUUUCUUGACAUGUAAUGACUCCUUCCACAGCAAAUUGUUCAGCUCCAUUCCAGAAAUAAUUUUGAAUGAAGAAGCAUGUGCUUAUUUCUCGCUGCUUAUUCUUUCCUAUUUUAUGUAAUGAUACCUUUCUUUUUGAGAAUAGACUCCUUUUUUUCAGAUUAUGAGCAAUGGGAUUUUCAAAAGCCCUGUGCAUAGAGUGGUGACCAACUUAGAAAAGGAGAGGAUCUCUUUGGCUAUGUUUUAUGCAUUAGAACCAGAAAAGGAGUUGGAACCUGCUGACAGGCUGGUAGAUGAGAUGCAUCCAAGAUUGUACAGGAAGGUGAAGAUGAAAGACUAUCUUGAAGUCUUCUUCAGGAACUUUUCACAAGGGAAGAGAACUAUUGACUGGGCAAAAAUCUAACCAAAACAUCGGCUUAAACCUUCAUCAAGCACUAAUGUCUUUGUUGCUGAAAGGGGAAUCCAAGCUCGGUCCCAUCGAACAAACGGUAUCAUAUACAUCAUGUUUAAUACUGGCUGCAAAUCCUAGUUUGGUGCUUUUCAAUUGUCCAAGAUUCAGGCAGGUUUCCUUGGCAGGCCAGCUGCCUGCUUCAUAUCCAAUUUACAGGUUAUCUUGAACUUGCAUUCCUCUACAUUUGGUCAUUUUGUGACUCUGGUAUUACAUUAGUGGGAUGUCAUGUGAUAUGCAACUAGGAGAGGUUUGUCUCAAACUCCCAAAUCUUUCUAUCAAACAGCACUUCAUAAAGUUUAUAUCAUACCUGCUAAAUAGACACUUCAUUCUCUUUCAAUGGAGUCAAGGUAAUAGAGGUGUACCAAGGGAACAGAGGUGCUUGCCUCCGUCUCUGCUUAAGUUCCAUGUAUGGAGCCAUUGGACUCAUACAGAUACAUGACACCUAACCAUUGGCUAAGAGUUGGUAUGGUUUGCACUUGUCUGUUCUGUUUUCAGAAAUAUAGUAAUGCUAACGUAAUGCUUAGAGGAUCAAAAAAGGGACACCAAAACAAUGUAUUAUUUGAAAACAAGGCAAGAAUUUGCAUCUAUUGUCAUCUGAUUUAAUUACAAUUGUUAAUUUAAAUAUUUUCCUUUUCUCAGCAUGGAGAGGAGCAAUUUGCCAAACAAAACCCUAAAGUGUUUUUGUCUUUCUUUUAGGACAAUUCAAAUAAUUUUCGCCUACAUCAAAAAGAAAAAUCAGACAAUUAACAUCCCUUUCAAAAUUGUGCAAGUUUCUUAAGAAUUAUAAUAUAAGCACCAAAAGACAAUAGACAAAACUUUCCAAGCUAAUAAUCAGUUCGGACUUCCCAUGCACUUCUUUAUUUUGUUUUUUUAGCAAGCUGAUGGCAAGCCACUUGACAUUUUAGGGGUAAAUGAAUUGAGAAAAGGAGUACAUACAAAAAAAGUGGAAGGAAAAGACACAACUAAAUCUAGUCCAAACAACGAGGCACACCCUGACAAAAGCAACACACAAGAUAACAGCUUGGAUCCAUUUUGGGCGACCCAUGAUGGCCCGUGUCGAGUUAAACCAGUAUCCAAUCCCAAAUUUGUUCAAAAUUCAAACUUGAAAUUUAAAUUUAUAUUUCAAGAAUCAUAUGAAAACUGUGUAUUUUUUGUUACGACUCAGGAUUUUACUCAAAAAGACUAGCUGGAAGGUAUUGUUUGGAUUCUUGGUCCCGAAUAAGUAUCCAGAAUUUAUUUAUUUCAUAGCUAAUAUGGGACUAAACACACGACCACAUGGAUCCUCAUAUAUUUUUCACAGUUAAGCCUUUGAAAACAGUCAGUUAUAGUUAUGGUCUUGACAAUCUGGGAGUCUGGAAGGGAGUAAACUAAGGAUUCUAACCUUUGUCAUUUUUUCUACCCAAAGUGGCUGCUCCAAACCUAUACCAUUGUGCCUAUCAGCCCAAGCUAUUUACCAUUGCGCCUAGCAAUGACCUCUCACUAAAAAUCUAGUAAUCUACACUAAUUCUAAGUUAAACCCUAGAUAUUUGAAACCUUGGCUGUGAUAUCAAAAACCAUCUCACCUAAACCCCAUCAUGUGAGUUGACACGUGACACAAUCAUACAUUCCAUAGAGUAUAGUCCUAGGGAAGGUACAAGGCUUGCUGGAAUAACAAAUUUCAAAAUAUAAAUUAAUAUUCCAAAAUAAAAUAAAUAACUCCAAUAUUAUUAAAUAACAACAACAAUACAAUAUAAAUUUAUGAUCAUCAUAAACAUUUAUUUCUUCUGUCAUCUCUUACUAGCAAACCCAAUAUCAACCAAGUGCUAUGCAACCUGAGACUUUGAAAAACAAUCAAGAGACUGGUAUGAGCUAACUAGCUCAAUAAAAAAUCCUCAUAACGUACACCAAUAUAUAAAAUGAUAAAAUAAUAAUGAUAAACAUAACUGAUGGAAUAAUAUCAAGUAGAGUAAAAUGUUCAUAACAUGUGUAUACUAAUCAAUUAUCAAAAUCUGGAUACUGGUUAAUCAAAUUUAAUAUGCAUCAAUCACAUGCCGACAAAAGCAAUUUAUUUUAGCAGUGUUUUCAUUUGAGUAUUUUAUUAUCAAAUCAACAAAGUUAGAUUCACCAACAAUCAUAAGAUUUCACAAAAGGGAGCUUCCAAUUAUCUUUCCAGUAUUGGACUAGCCACAACCACACUCCAACCCAUGACCGGUAAACUAAAGCAGCACAUUCUUGCUUGUGGCAGUGCUAUCCACAGUGCCAUGUUCGUGGCCUACCCAUGAUAAGCCUUUUAAAUACUGCAUUCUUGGUCAUGAUGAGGCUAUCCACAGUGCCAUGUUCCAACCAAUCUGUGAUGGCUAUCCCACGCGUAAGUUGGUGGCGACUANNNNNNNNNNNNNNNNCUACCCAUGAUGAAGUUAUCCAUCAUGCCAUAUUUCUAUAUGUUGCGGCUAUCCCAUACAUAAGACCAAGGCUAUCCAUAAUGCCACAUUCCUAUUGAUAAUGGGUAGGUGUAAGCUCGUGGCAUAUAUGUUGUAGCUUGGUGGUUACUUCAAACUUGGGAUCACUAGUUCGAAUCCCUUUGAUCCAAUUGUGGGUUAUAUGGUUUAUUUUCAUUCAUAGCGAUCAAGGAAUUCACCUAAAAGGACUGGCUAGAAAGUGUUAGUUAAGGUCAUUGGCUCUAUAUAAGUAUCCAAGAUCUAUCUAGUGCAUAGUUGAUUUGACCCAUCAAUCCGAUCUAUAAACAACACGCUUUAAACAGGUUUGACUUUAUACAAAUGGUUUGCAUCAUAAAUGGGGCAACCCGUCUAGUUCAGUUCAGGUUAAUUUAGACCUUCAACUCAUUUAACCGGUUACCAUCUACAUGCAUGGAAGAGAACUCAUUACGAGAGACAAUGUUAAGGCGAUAUAAACUAUUACAUGGAAGACCUCCAUCAACAAAUUUAGAGCCACAAAAUAGUUUAUGUUUUCCAUUACCAAAAGUAAACCUAAAAUUACUAGAAUCAAGUUUAGAAAGAGAAAUUGAAUUCCGCCUUAUGGACAAUACAUAAACAGUAUUUUCUAAAAUAAGGGUAAAUCUUGACUGUAACUCUAGUCUAACAUCUCCAAUAAGUUCAACUCAAACUUUGACUUCAUUUCCUACGAAUACCUUGACAAUCAUCCUCGCUUGCCCUCCACUUGUUUAUGAACUCAUGCAAAGAAUUAAUAAUAUGAAUAGAUGCCCCACUAUCCAACUACAAAAAUGUAAUAGAACAUCUAACAAGAGCUAGUGAAUUAUCUUUAUGCAUGUUCUUCUUUUCUAACUGAUUCUUAUGCUUGAAACAAUCAGGUUUCUUAUGACCCUUCUUUUUUGUAGAAGAAGCACUUCAAAAUCUUCUUAAUAGCAACUCGUUGGUCUCCAGGAUUCUGAUUUCUAAUUCUAGAAUUGUGAGUCUGACCAGCCCUUUUUGGAACAAUUAUCUUUUUUUUAUUAUAUGUGGGACCCCUAGGGUGUGGCUGAUACAUCAUAUUAGUACUCUCACUCUUUUUCCUAAGAUAUUUUUCUUCUUCUUGAACACAAGCAGAAAUAAGUUUAUUUACAUUCCAUUUAUCCCUCAUCACAUUAUAUGUGAUUUAAGCUGACCAAAUUACGUAGGGAGAGAAUUAAGAAUUUGAUGCACAAGAAAAUCACUAGGGAUAGGGAUUUCAAGACUACUAAGCUUGGAUGCAAUACUCUCUAGUUGCAUGAUAUAAGCUCUAACACCCUCACUAUCAUCAUAUCUCAUAUUGAUUAAUUUUUCAAUUAGCUCUCCAACCUCAACCUUAUUAGAUUCUACAUACCUCUUAUUUAUGGCAUCAAAGAAUUGUCUAGUAUUACCAUUGUCAGGUGAAGCAUCUAGAGUCGAAUGUGAUAUGGAUCUUUUGAUAAUCAUCAGGCUAAAACUAUUCGCACUCUCCCAUUUUUCAUAAGCAGUCUUUUGCUCUAAAGUUCUCUCACUAGUAACUUAAGAUGGAGGAUCAUCUCUGAGUACAAUAUCUAAAUCCAUCAAACCCAUCGGUAAUUCAAUAUCAAGUUUCUAUCUUUUGUAGUUUGUUCUAAUCAGAGUUUCAAUGAGAAAAGUAGUGUUAUUCAUGACAAAGGUGCUAACUGCAAAACAACUUCAAUGCAUUUAAUUAAUAGACAAAUAUAAGUAAACAAUAUGCUUGAAAAUAUUUAUCAACAUUACUUAAAUGAGAGCCUUUGAUGCAAUGUCACAAACUUCCUGUGGGAAGAAAGUGACCCACAUAAGGUAAUCUUUCCAACGUAUAGUGGAAUCAACUAGUAAAAUAUUAUCAGCUUUCGGAGGUCCAUCUACUCUAAUAGAAUGGAUUUUUAGGCCAUACACACUCACUAGUCAAAAAAUAUUCCACUUCAGAAUUACAACACGCAAUAUACUCCCUUGGGAAGAUGAUUGUAUGCAUUAAUCUCUCAACGCUUCUCAAUCCUUUUCAAAAAAUUAAAAGAAGAAACCUGCAAAUCUCAAUGAAUGGGCCACUUUGGCGAUCACUGUUCAUUGAAACCCACAACCCUCCAAAAAUAGAGAUCAACCAGCUAUGCACCAAUAGCAUAGCAAUUUACCAAAAUUAACAUGACUCUCCAUCUAUUUAAACACCAAACAAGGAAUCCUACAAAUCUCAAUGAAUGGUCCAUUUUGUUGGUCACCAUUCAUUGAAACUUACAACCCUCUAAAAAUAUAGAUUUGCACAAAACAUAUCAUUAUUCAUUCCAAACAUGAGGGUACAUAAACUUUACAACAACAUAUUUAAGGAUCUUUAUGCAAUAAAAAUAUAUGACGGGGACCACAACAUAAUUAUCAUAGUACCAUUUCAUAAUAAAACUUUAGUAUUGGAAUAAAAUAAGUAUUUAGGGACCUUUAUGUAAUAAAAUUUCACCAUAGGGAUUAAAAUGCAAUUUUGAAAGAACGGAAAUAAUAAUAUGCCCUUUAGGGGAUAAACUGCAAAUAUCUUCUUCUUCUUCUUUUUUAACUAAUGGGGUUCGGAUUUCGGGUCAAAACCCACUAUCCUUACCUUCCUCCCCAUGAUUGGGUGGAGGAGGGCAAGAAUACGGCGGCCGUCCUCGCCUAAAUAACCGCUAGCGACCUCAAAAUUUCUUAAUCGCCGGCCGCUGCCCUGUUCUGGCGACUUCGACUGCCGGUUUUUCAGAGAUUUGAGAUGAGCCAGCGGUCCUUUUUUUUGAAAGCUAAUGACAAGGAGGAAGAACCCUCCCACCCACCCCACAUGGCGGUGUGGCCGCUAGCUGGGCUCACCAUCGGCCUGUCUGAGGCAGCUGGCGGUGACCUCUCUACCCACCCAAUGGGAGGAGGGGGACACAACGACAGGAUACGUGAGUGCCGCCGUCCCUUCUUUUUUCUUCCUUCUCUUCCCUUCUUUUUUAAUUUCUUCCUCACGUCCUUUUUCUGAUUUUUUCCUUUUAAUUUGAUUUCUUCUCAAUUUGAUUCGUUAUUUUGUUUCUAAUCUCUUACAAAAUCCAGGCUUUAAGACCACAUAAAAAAUAAUAAAUUCAACGAGAGAAGAUUGAAGCUACCUUGAAAGCCCUGGAAGUCAUGAUGAUCGUUAUAAUAAUAUCUUGCGGAAGAAGAAAGCACAUAGAUAGAAUGUAUCUUUCUCUCCUCCUCCUUGAUAUCUAUCGCCUCAGAGAUCUUAAUGCCUCAUAAGAAUGCAGAGAUCUUGAUGCCUUAGGAUAAGCAAAUACACAUAGGAGUGGAGUAAGGGCUUA
This 8314-nucleotide long non-coding RNA is filed under the name Phoenix dactylifera (date palm). RNAcentral describes it as "long non-coding RNA (PDAC_LNC003828)". Lineage: Eukaryota; Viridiplantae; Streptophyta; Magnoliopsida; Arecales; Arecaceae. The record is from RNAcentral.